This 265-nucleotide ribosomal RNA is filed under the name uncultured archaeon. RNAcentral's name for it is "partial 16S ribosomal RNA". It matches the Rfam family "Archaeal small subunit ribosomal RNA", at positions 719 to 982 of the family's 1478-position model. The record is from RNAcentral.
ACACGACUACAUUAGAUACCCGUGUAGUCCUAGCCGUAAACGAUACUCGCUAGGUGUCGGCCACGGUGCGACCGUUGUCGGUGCCGUAGGGAAGCCGUGAAGCGAGCCACCUGGGAAGUACGGCCGCAAGGCUGAAACUUAAAGGAAUUGGCGGGGGAGCACCACAACGGGUGGAGCUUGCGGUUUAAUUGGAUUCAACGCCGGAAAUCUUACCGGGACCGACAGCAACAUGAAGGCCAAGCUGAAGACUUUGCCGGAUUAGCUG